CUUUAAUAGUUUAAAAUUAAAACACUGGUCUUGUAAACCAGAACUGGGAACAUCCCUUAAAGUG
RNAcentral lists this transfer RNA (64 nucleotides) under Alpheus japonicus. Its description in RNAcentral is "tRNA-Thr". It matches the Rfam family "tRNA". Rfam says of the family: Transfer RNA (tRNA) molecules are approximately 80 nucleotides in length. Their secondary structure includes four short double-helical elements and three loops (D, anti-codon, and T loops). The record is from RNAcentral. Lineage: Eukaryota; Metazoa; Arthropoda; Malacostraca; Decapoda; Alpheidae.